Molecule: ribosomal RNA, 254 nt
Filed under: uncultured bacterium
Lineage: Bacteria
Description: partial 16S ribosomal RNA
Rfam family: Bacterial small subunit ribosomal RNA
Source: RNAcentral
UACGGGGGGAGCAAGCGUUGCUCGGAUUUACUGGGCGUAAAGGGCGCGUAGGCGGCCACCGCAAGUCAAUUGUGAAAUCUCCGGGCUUAACUCGGAAAGGUCAACUGAUACUGCGGGGCUAGAGUGCGGAAGGGGCAACUGGAAUUCUCGGUGUAGCGGUGAAAUGCGUAGAUAUCGAGAGGAACACCUGCGGCGAAGGCGGGUUGCUGGGCCGACACUGACGCUGAGGCGCGAAAGCCAGGGGAGCGAACGGG